UACGAGGGGGGCAAGCGUUGUUCGGAAUUAUUGGGCGUAAAGGGCGCGUAGGCGGUGCGGUAAGUCACCUGUGAAAACUCUGGGCUCAACUCAGAGCCUGCAGGCGAAACUGCCGUGCUUGAGUGUGGGAGAGGUGCGUGGAAUUCCCGGUGUAGCGGUGAAAUGCGUAGAUAUCAGGAGGAACACCUGUGGUGUAGACAGCUUACUGGACCACUUCUGACGCUGAGACACGAAAGCGUGGGUAGCAAACAGG
This 253-nucleotide ribosomal RNA is filed under the name uncultured bacterium. RNAcentral's name for it is "partial 16S ribosomal RNA". It matches the Rfam family "Bacterial small subunit ribosomal RNA", at positions 524 to 776 of the family's 1533-position model. The record is from RNAcentral.